GUGAUCGUAGCUCAGUUGGUCAGAGCGCCAGGUUGUGGCCCCGGAGGUCGGGGUUCAAGUCCCCUCGGUCACC
This 73-nucleotide transfer RNA is filed under the name mine drainage metagenome. RNAcentral's name for it is "tRNA-His". It matches the Rfam family "tRNA". From Rfam's summary of the family: Transfer RNA (tRNA) molecules are approximately 80 nucleotides in length. Their secondary structure includes four short double-helical elements and three loops (D, anti-codon, and T loops). The record is from RNAcentral.